UUUUUUUUUUUUUUUUUUUUUUAAGAUUUAUCUAUUUAUUUCAACGAGAGAGCAUACAAGGAGGGGAAGGACAGAGAAACAGCAAGCAGAUUUCCCCACUGAGCUCGGAGUCUGACUCACAGCUCCCUCCCAGAACCCUGAGAUCAAACAUUAGCUUAAAUCAAGAGUCCGAGGCUCAUAGAACCAAGCCACCCAGGUGCCCCGAGUACAGAACAUUUUAAUCUGACUUUAUUCUUCUCUUCAGAUCACUAUAGGUGUAGUUCUCUCAACUAUGAACAAGGUAACACGCUAUUUUUACUGCAUUUACGCAGAAUUGUGCUACACCCUGCAGAAGCAAUUGUUCUCCCCAUUGUGCUGAAUGAAUGCAAACUGGAAGAAAAUAGAUUGGGGAAAUGUACCAGUUUUUUAAAGUACAUUAGACAGUGAGAUUGACGGAUAUCUUAGUUGUGGUUUUCAAGAACAUGAAGGGUUAAUAUGGCACAUGGUACUAAUAGUUGCUAAUUAUCUCCUUUAAAAAAAAAAAGAAAAUGAGCUUUUAGGACUUAGUGCUUUUAGGGGCACCUAUACAUGCUCCUAAAAGUAUAAACAAAAAAAAAAAAAAGUAUAAACAGCAUGUGAUAUUGUAGCAUUUCCUACCUCCAAAAUACUGUAAGACAGCAACAACUAAAAAGAGAAUACCCAAAUAGCUUACUGUCUAAAAUGGCUUAGAAGUCAUUCUCCCUAAAUAGUGACAAGAAUGCAGGCAGUGUUUUAAGUGCUGAGAUCAACUACAGACAUUAAAAUGACUCUAAAUGUUAUUAUAUUUAGAAUCAGAAAAAAAUGGGGCACCUGGGUGGCUCAGUCGGUUAGACAUCUGCCUUCAGCUAGAGUCAUGAUCUCAGGUCCUGGGAUUGAGCCCCAAGUCUCCCUCUCCCUCUGUCCCUCUCCUGCUUCUGCUCUCCAUCUCUCUCUGUCUUGUGCUCACUCUUUCAAGUACAUAAAUAAAAAUUUUUUUUUAAAAAUCAGAAAAAAAAUUUUAGAAUCAAAUAAAAACCUAUUUUCAUUUUGAACAGAGAAUAAAUGUAUUACUGUGAUAAAAGAAGGAAAGGAAUCCAUAAACAAUCCAUAGAAAUUCAUAUAUGUGGGAGGAGGCACAUUUGAAGUACUGAAAAGAACUUCUAAAAACUAUUUUAGGGAGUUUAGGGCCAAGGAUUAGAAAAGACUCAAUUUUUUUUUUUUACCAAGUCCCAAACAAAAAUUCAUCUCAUAAGAUAGUAAGUGAAAAGUUCAGAACACAAAAGAACAUGUAUCAGUCAGAAAGUUUUUUUCCACAAAGCUUAUUUAUUUUCAAAGGAAUUGAAAAAGAUUUUUUUUUUAAAGUCUAUUGCAGGUUAAAUGCCUUAAAAAACGAUCUGGUCAUUGUUUCCCUUGGGGUGAGUUGUCUCCCUUUCUUUAUUUAUGAUGAAUAACAUACAAUUUCAACUUUUCCUUUCUCAUUUGGGACUGAGAAGCAAUCUUCCUCUAUUUGCUAACAAAAUUAUAAGCAAGCAAAAACUUAUGUGACAUAAUGCUAUAUAAAGAUGUAAGAACUCAGGAGUGUGAAUUAAGACCAUCAUUUUGGGAAACAAUUUGGCAUUAUCUGGAAAGGCUGAAAGAGAACAUUUUCUAUGACACAAAUUCCAGCCCAGGAAAUAUACCCUAAAGAAACACAAAAUAAAUUCAAAUACAGGUAUUAUAAUGAAAUUUAAAAAUCGAAGAAAAGCAAGUUCUGAAAUUAAAAAAUAAUACAAAGGAAUGGCGACUGACUUUCUCAGCAAAAAAAAAGAAACUGGAAGUCAAUGAAGUAAUAACUUCAAAUACUGAAGUAAAAUCAUUGGAAUUGUCAAUCUAGAAUUGUAUGCAGGGUUAAGCUAGCAUACAUUUUUUUAAGAUUUUAUUUUUCAUUUACUUGAGAGAGGGAGAGCAUGUGUGUGCAAGAGAACAACCAGAAAGAGCAUGGGGUGGAGGAGAAUGAAGGGGGGGCCAUGAGCAGCAGUGGGCACCAACGGGGGACGGGGUGGAUAGGUACAGAGAGACAGACUCCUCACUGAGCCAGGAGCCCAAUGCAGGAUUCCAUCUCAGAACCCUGGGAUCAGGACCUGAGCCGAAGGCAGACACUGAACUAACUGACUGAGCCACCCAGGCACCCCAACCUAUCAUUUAAAUAUGAAUGCAAAGAGAUUUUUAUUGAAAGAACUGCUAAAGGAUGUCUUCAAGAAGUCAAAAAUUGAACCCAGAAAGAAGGGGGAGAUGCAAGAACAUAUGGAGAGCCAAGAAAUUGAAUAUAAUUUUCAAACCAGUUGAUACAAAAAAGGGAAUAAAGCAAACAUAAUUACUCCAUAGACUGGCAGGAAAGUUGAGGUGGGAAAGGAGCAUAGGGUAGGUAUAUCGUACAUGGCAAAUAUAACAUGAGGCACAAGAAAUAUAUCAAUCACCUUCUAAAAAAGGUACAUGGUAUAAAUGUGUCAGUUAAAAGGUUAUCAGCUACAUUCUUUUUAACAAGAAAUAAUAACUAAAACUCAAAGGACACCAAAUGUUUGAUAGUAAAAGGAAGGGGAAGAUAUACAAAGCAAUUAACACCCGAAGAAAAGCUGGUAUACCUUAUUCUCAAGCCUUUCCAAUCAUUCCUUUCAAUAUUGCUAUUUCCUAUAUCUAGCUUUUGAUCUCCAGGUAAUCAGUGCUUUCAAAAUACUCCCAGACUUUUCCUUGCCCCACCCUAACCCCGACCUCCUAACUAAUAAUAACAGCUGUAGCAACCCUGUACUAAGUUUUUUUUACAUUAUUUGGUUAAUCUUCAUGACAACCUUAGAUCCUACUGUGUUUAUUUUUACAGAUCGGGAAACUAUGGUUCAAAGAAAUUAAAUAGCUCAUCCAAAUUCAUGCAGCUAGUGAAAAAUGGAAUAGACUUCUUGGGCUCUGGAACUGGGAUGUGAAUGCAAGUCCAUCCAUAUCAGAGCCUGAGUUCUGAACUGAAAUGAUAAACAAUAAGGUAGCCAACAUAACAUGAGAGAGAAGGCUCCAGGUUGGACCCGAAUAACUCUCUUGGUGAACUUGGGCAAGUAAUGCAAUCUCUUGUUCCUCAGUUUUAUCACGUUCUAUCUCUGUAUGGCUGUCCUGCCUCAGUAGCACCCCUUAUCCAAGCCUAUCCUUCAUUCUCCAAUACCUGAAAUGUACCCGUCUUAGAUCUCUAAAGAUGUUUCCAGCUGUCAUUUAGAACAUUUUUAAACAAAUGAAUACGAGAGCAUUAGUCUUCUUAAAGGUAUAUAUCUUGCAGGUUAGCUUCCAAAACCACAAUGCCUUAAAUUAAAAUUAAAUUUUAAAGAUUUUUAUGUAUUAAUUUCAGAGAAAGAACAUGUGAGCAAGAACAAGGGGGGGGGGGGGGGCAGAAGGAGAGGGAGAAGCCGGCUCCUGCCUGAGCAGGAUGCCCAACGCAGGGCUCCAUCCCAGGACCCCAGGUCAUCACGUGAGCCAAAGCCAGGCACUUAACCGACUGAGCCAUCCACGUGCCCUGAAAAUAAAAUUUUUGAUACUACAAUGAAUGAGUGGAAACACUUGGGGGUCAGGAGAAACCUUCCUAGUAUCCCUCAGCUAUGACAUUAGGCAGACUAGUGCUUUUCAAACAUGAUUACACAUAGAAACACCUGGGCAUUUGCUGAAAUACAAAUGCUGACUCAAUAGGUCUCUGGUGGAGCCUGAGACUCCGAAGUUCCAGCCAAGUACCCAGGUAAUGCUGUGAUCUGCAGACCAAACUUGUAAAUUAUCUGUUCCUUUUACAGAUUAAGUCCAUCUCUUUAAUCUAUUGUUUCUUUUCAUGUGUUUCUUUGCUAAAUAGUAAGUUCAAGAAACUGUAAAAUCUGAUUUUUAAUUCCCUCUUUGGUUGACCCAAGAGGGUAUCCCUUACUUUUUUGCAAACUAUGCUAUGCACUUACAAAGAUAUAUUAUAAUGAACUCAACAUAUCUAGGUGUUUUAGGAUUGUCCAAACCUGCAUGAUUUCUUUUCCAGUUAAAAUUAAAAUAACAAUAAAUUACUUUUAAAAAACUAAAACUGUACUUUAAAUGAAUCAGGAAUAAUAUGAGGACAAUAUUGAGAAUUAAGAAUUCUACUUUCUUUUUUCAAACCUAUUUUGAUUCUCAAAAAACUGGCCUAUUGCAAAAAGGUCCAACCUGGCACUACAGACAAAUGCUUUUUGCGAAAGGUUACCAGGAACUACUCAGAAGUAGGAGACAACACAGUAAAUCAUCACACCUAAUUUAUAUUCGAAUUAGAGACUACUAGUUCUUAAACUUUCCAUAGGUUAAGAAAUGUGAAGCAAGGUUGGUGGUCAAAAUAAGCUUGCAUCUUUCAUUUGCUAAAAAUGAUUUUUAAUACUAACUUUUAAAAAUUCAUGAAUUUUUAACUGAAAGUAGCUCACUUUACGUUUACUACUCUACAAAUGAAAAAUGCUUAAAGAUAUCAAUCAUAUCUCAAUAGAUUAUUUUGUUUAUAUAUUUUAUCAUUUUCAAGAAAAUUAGGGAUUGCAAGAUUAAAAUCACGGUUUUGUAGGACUAUUUCUUGUGGAAGUUUAAAGUAUAAUUUUCCUCUGAUUUUCUUUAUGUUAAAUUGGGAAGCAGUUGACUCAAACUCUCCUUCUCUUUACAAUUACUUUUUAAAAAAUCUCCAAAGAGCUUUUAUUUCCUUGCUAUUUAGAAUAUGGUCCAGGGAGUUUGUUAGAACUGAAAUCUCAGUCCCCACCUUAUAACUACUGUGUUAGCAGGGCACCUGGGUGGCUCAGUGGUUGAGAAUCUGCCUUUGGCUCAAGUGGUGAUCCCAGGGGCCUGGAAUCAAGUCCCCCAUCAGGCUCCCCACAGGGAACUUACUUCUCCUUCUGCCUAUGUCUCUGCCUCUUUCACUGUGUCUCUCAUGAAUAAAUAAGUAAAAUGUAAAAAACAAAAAAAACCUACUCUGUUAGAAUCCACAUUAAAAGGCUCAUCAGGCGAUUCAAAUGCAUAUUUAGGCUUUCUUAGAUGAAAACAACAGAACUCAAUGACAAAUUUUUAAAGUUAUAAAAAUAAAA
RNAcentral lists this long non-coding RNA (5072 nucleotides) under Canis lupus familiaris (dog). RNAcentral describes it as "lncRNA (ENSCAFG00845026729.1)". The record is from RNAcentral. Lineage: Eukaryota; Metazoa; Chordata; Mammalia; Carnivora; Canidae.